Molecule: long non-coding RNA, 629 nt
Organism: Solanum lycopersicum (tomato)
Lineage: Eukaryota; Viridiplantae; Streptophyta; Magnoliopsida; Solanales; Solanaceae
Source: RefSeq, a predicted model, not a curated record
UUUCACUUUCCUAAAUCAGAACUCAUGCUUUCCCUUUCACAAUUUCACGCUUUUCUUUCACCAAGCUUCAAAUUUGCCGAAGAUCAAGCUGAAAUAUUUGCUGAAGAACUCACCAAGACCAAUUUGCUGAAGAUUCCGUCAAGUUUGAAAGGGAUCCUACAAUAAUAUGAAACUGGCGUAGAAGCAGAAAAAGAGAUCUUUUCAAAAUUGGAGUUGCAAAGGGAAAUGGAGGUGAACAAAUUUUAAGUGGAUGAUGAAGAGUUUUUGAGCUAUUCGAUUGAGGGUAUUCAGCAGUGGGCCUACCUUAAGGUAGGAGGUGAUUGAAAAAGGGGAAGCCGGUCCCCUUACAUAGCCAUAAUAGUAAGUUUUUUCGUUCAAUAAAUAAUUGAAUGUAGAAAGGGGAUCCUAAACUAAAAAGGAGUCCAUGACCCCCUUUUAGAGCGUAUAAGGAAAGUUUGAUUACAUUGUCUUUGAUUUUGUGAAAUAUAUUCACUGGUGGAAUAUAUUGAACUAUUAUAAGUGUACUUUUUUAACUAUUAUGUACACAUUUAGAAUAUUGCUUUAUAAGUUUGUGUAUGUACACAACACAUUAUGUUUGAAGUUUAUGGAAAAUCUAUAAAUUUGUAAGA